RNAcentral lists this ribosomal RNA (134 nucleotides) under uncultured bacterium. Its description in RNAcentral is "partial 16S ribosomal RNA". It matches the Rfam family "Eukaryotic small subunit ribosomal RNA", at positions 411 to 548 of the family's 1831-position model. The record is from RNAcentral.
UACUCCUACGGGAGGCAGCAGGCGCGCAAAUUACCCACUCCCGACUCGGGGAGGUAGUGACGAAAAAUAACAAUACAGGACUCUUUCGAGGCCCUGUAAUGGAAUGAGUACACUUAAACCUAACGAGAUCGCAG